AGUCGAGCGGAUGACAGGAGCUUGCUCCUGAAUUCAGCGGCGGACGGGUGAGUAMUGCCUAGGAAUCUGCCUGGUAGUGGGGGACAACGUUUCGAAAGGAACGCUAAUACCGCAUACGUCCUACGGGAGAAAGCAGGGGACCUUCGGGCCUUGCGCUAUCAGAUGAGCCUAGGUCGGAUUAGCUAGUUGGUGAGGUAAUGGCUCACCAAGGCGACGAUCCGUAACUGGUCUGAGAGGAUGAUCAGUCACACUGGAACUGAGACACGGUCCAGACUCCUACGGGAGGCAGCAGUGGGGAAUAUUGGACAAUGGGCGAAAGCCUGAUCCAGCCAUGCCGCGUGUGUGAAGAAGGUCUUCGGAUUGUAAAGCACUUUAAGUUGGGAGGAAGRGCAUUAACCUAAUACGUUAGUGUUUUGACGUUACCGACAGAAUAAGCACCGGCUAACUCUGUGCCAGCAGCCGCGGUAAUACAGAGGGUGCAAGCGUUAAUCGGAAUUACUGGGCGUAAAGCGCGCGUAGGUGGUUUGUUAAGUUGGAUGUGAAAUCCCCGGGCUCAACCUGGGAACUGCYGUUCAAAACUGACAAGCUAGAGUAUGGUAGAGGGUGGUG
RNAcentral lists this ribosomal RNA (609 nucleotides) under Pseudomonas laurylsulfatiphila. Its description in RNAcentral is "bacterial SSU rRNA". The record is from RNAcentral. Lineage: Bacteria; Pseudomonadati; Pseudomonadota; Gammaproteobacteria; Pseudomonadales; Pseudomonadaceae.